RNAcentral lists this ribosomal RNA (492 nucleotides) under uncultured bacterium. Its description in RNAcentral is "partial 16S ribosomal RNA". It matches the Rfam family "Bacterial small subunit ribosomal RNA", at positions 30 to 507 of the family's 1533-position model. The record is from RNAcentral.
AUUGAACGCUGGCGGCAUGCUUUACACAUGCAAGUCGAACGGUAACAGGCCUUCGGGUGCUGACGAGUGGCGAACGGGUGAGUAAUGCAUCGGAACGUACCCAGAGAUGGGGGAUAACGCAGCGAAAGCUGUGCUAAUACCGCAUGUGAUCUGAGGAUGAUAGCGGGGGACCGAGCAGCAAUGUUUGGCCUCGCGCCUUUGGAGCGGCCGAUGUCGGAUUAGCUAGUUGGUGGGGUAAAGGCCUACCAAGGCGACGAUCCGUAGCUGGUCUGAGAGGACGGCCAGCCACACUGGAACUGAGACACGGCCCAGACUCCUACGGGAGGCAGAAGUGGGGAAUUUUGGACAAUGGGCGAAAGCCUGAUCCAGCAAUGCCGCGUGCGGGAAGAAGGCCUUCGGGUUGUAAACCGCUUUUGGCAGGAACGAAACGGUGUCCGCUAAUACCGGGCGCUAAUGACGGUACCUGCAGAAUAAGCACCGGCUAACUACGUG